UACGUAGGAUCCAAGCGUUGUCCGGAAUUACUGGGUGUAAAGGGUGCGCAGGCGGGCUUGUGCGUCAGAGGUUAAAUACUCCGGCUCAACCGGGGAAAUGCCUUUGAUACGGCAAGUCUUGAGUACGAGAGAGGAUGGUAGAAUUCCUGGUGUAGCGGUGAAAUGCGUAGAUAUCAGGAGGAAUACCCGUGGCGAAGGCGGCCAUCUGGCUCGUAACUGACGCUCAGGCACGAAAGCGUGGGGAUCAAACAGGAUUAGAAACCCUCGUAGUCC
This 273-nucleotide ribosomal RNA is filed under the name uncultured prokaryote. RNAcentral describes it as "partial 16S ribosomal RNA". It matches the Rfam family "Bacterial small subunit ribosomal RNA", at positions 524 to 796 of the family's 1533-position model. The record is from RNAcentral.